This 518-nucleotide ribosomal RNA is filed under the name uncultured bacterium. RNAcentral describes it as "bacterial SSU rRNA". It matches the Rfam family "Bacterial small subunit ribosomal RNA", at positions 8 to 518 of the family's 1533-position model. The record is from RNAcentral.
AGAGUUGAUCCUGGCUCAGGAUGAACGCUAGCGACAGGCUAACACAUGCAAGUCGAGGGGCAUCACGGGAGUAGCAAUACAACUGGUGGCGACCGGCGCACGGGUGAGUAACGCGUAUGCAACCUACCUAUCAGAGGGGAAUAACCCGGCGAAAGUCGGACUAAUACCGCAUAAAACAGGGGCACCGCAUGGUGAUAUUUGUUAAAGAAAUUCGCUGAUAGAUGGGCAUGCGUUCCAUUAGGUAGUUGGUGAGGUAACGGCUCACCAAGCCGACGAUGGAUAGGGGAACUGAGAGGUUGGUCCCCCACACUGGUACUGAGACACGGACCAGACUCCUACGGGAGGCAGCAGUGAGGAAUAUUGGUCAAUGGGCGGGAGCCUGAACCAGCCAAGUCGCGUGAAAGGAAGAAGGAUCUAUGGUUCGUAAACUUCUUUUGCAGGGGAAUAAAGUGCAGGACGUGUCCUGUUUUGUAUGUACCCUGAGAAUAAGGAUCGGCUAACUCCGUGCCAGCAGCCGC